CAAUGAGGAAGCCUGGCAGGAUGGAGGGCGAGGCCUGGCAGCUGUAGUGCUUCUGGGCAGUAGAGGCGCGGGGUGCGGAGCUAGGGCGGCCGAGAGCCAUGGCGGCGCUAUUGGCGGCGGCGGCAGUGCGAGCCCGGAUCCUGCAGGUUUCUUCCAAGGUGAAAUCCAGUCCCACCUGGUAUUCAGCAUCUUCCUUCUCUUCUUCAGUGCCAACUGUAAAGCUCUUCAUUGGUGGGAAAUUCGUUGAAUCCAAAAGUGACAAAUGGAUCGAUAUCCACAACCCAGCCACCAAUGAGGUCAUUGGUCGGGUCCCUCAGGCCACCAAGGCAGAAAUGGAUGCAGCCAUUGCUUCCUGUAAACGUGCUUUUCCUGCAUGGGCAGACACUUCAGUAUUAAGCCGCCAGCAGGUCUUGCUCCGCUAUCAACAACUUAUUAAAGAAAACUUGAAAGAAAUUGCCAAGUUAAUCACAUUGGAACAAGGAAAGACCCUAGCUGAUGCUGAAGGAGAUGUAUUUCGAGGCCUUCAGGUGGUUGAGCAUGCCUGUAGUGUGACAUCCCUCAUGAUGGGAGAGACCAUGCCAUCCAUCACCAAAGACAUGGACCUUUAUUCCUACCGUCUGCCUCUGGGAGUGUGUGCAGGCAUUGCUCCAUUCAAUUUUCCUGCCAUGAUCCCCCUUUGGAUGUUUCCCAUGGCCAUGGUGUGUGGAAAUACCUUCCUAAUGAAACCAUCUGAGCGAGUCCCUGGAGCAACUAUGCUUCUUGCUAAGUUGCUCCAGGAUUCUGGUGCCCCUGAUGGAACAUUAAACAUCAUCCAUGGACAGCAUGAAGGUAACUGCCCUUCUGCAUAUGGCUACUUAAUCUGGCUACCAAAAAAUCAAGGUGUUGAGUGAUGGUUGGAUGUUUUAGGAUAAGGAACCUACUUGUAAGGAGGAAAGGAUUUACUCAUUUUAACCUCCAUGUUUGUUGAUGAUUUUGCCAUCUUUGUGCGCCAAGGUAACUGAUUGGGGAAUAGCAGUGCUUGUUGCCCUACAGUAUAUAUUGGGACACUAGAAAUAUGGAUUAGGGCUAGACACAGAUAAGAUUAAAAAGAAACUUUUUUCUUCAGUGUGAAGAGAAUACAUGAGGGUAUUUAAUUCAGAGAAUUUGCAGAUCUCAGAGAUACUGAAGGCCUUCUAAUUCAUGUAAUAAUAGCUAAUACUUAGUGCUUCUGUGUUUCAGGCACCGUUCCUAGUGCUUUUUAUCUAUUAAUCUUUAUAAUCACCCUUUGAGGUAGGUAUUAUUUUUCCAUUUUGCAGAAGAGAAAAAUGAGACAUAGUGAA
Molecule: small RNA, 1319 nt
Filed under: Pan troglodytes (chimpanzee)
Lineage: Eukaryota; Metazoa; Chordata; Mammalia; Primates; Hominidae
Description: retained intron
Source: RNAcentral